CAUCAAGAAAAAACAUGCAACAACAAAGCAUCCAAUUCUCUCAUUUCAAAGUUUGAAUAAAAAAUUGCAUGAAUAGUCCAUAGUUGUACAGAUCCAACGUGAAUAAAUCCUUGUCUAAUCCAACAUUCGCUGAAUAAACAAAAUAAAAAGGACAUGCGAGUGAUAGCACAGAGGGCAUCAUCGACAUUUGAGACACAAACAGAGGGCAAAACUCCUUCAAUAAGGUCACGUAUGCUCGCCUUUGAGCAAUGGCAUUCCCCAUCUAUGUAUCCUGGAUGUUGGGGAUCAUAAAGCAAUUAGAUGUGGACAUUCAAAGGCAUAUCCACAGGUGAUAUUGAAGUAUACAACAGUAGAUAAAUAAAGUCCUCUUGAGCUCAUUGUUCAUAUGUAUCAAACAAUACAUAAGCAAACUAACACUAAGUUACCAUGCUACAUUUUGAUGUUUUUUGUCCAGGCUUGGCCAAUAUGCUCUGUAUCUUGAAAGAAAACCUUUAUUUGUUUUCUGUAUCACAUCGUGUUCAACAUACCAGUAAUGCGUUGAUAAGGGUGAUGAAUACUGGAAAACAAAGAAUAGGUAAUCAUAGGAUGUGUUGAAGAAAUCGAGCACAUCUAUUCUUUAAAUUUUGAGCGGGAUAUAAACUUUCGAUAAAGUGAGCUAUAUAUGUCGAGAGUGGUGAUGACAAACAGGGCAUGUACAAUCUUAAAGGAGAAUGCACAUAUCAAUAACACAACACCGACAUUUAUACUCAGUAAACCAUAAGGACAAACACAAAACAAUUAAAGGAUGACAUUUGUAUGCAAGGCGAGCAAGGCCCGAGCAGUGCAUCUGAGGAUACAACAUAGGAAACGAUUUGUCUUACAUGUGAUCCGUUCAUUUAGUCAUUAAAGACUAAAGUCCUGCAGGUAGUAGGCUGAGACUUUGUUUUCUUGCUGAGCAUGUGAUAUGUUUCACUGGGAAAGCAACAAACGUGAGUAAUGCAUAUAGUUGCAUGAAUCCGUCGAAGGCCAACAAUGAACACAAGGAAAUCAUAACCAAUUAACAUAUGAACCACCUAUAUUUGGAUCCUCAUGAACCAAGGAUUAAACAGAGACCCAAAACCUCACCGAGGCUUAAACAUAGACCCAAAACCUCUGUCAAUCAUCACAAGCAGCAAACAAUAGGCCUGCCAAAAUAACCCCAAGCCAAAGAUAGGAGAUGCCUCAUCAAUAAAAAUUACAAAAAGGUAGGGGCUGCAUCAUCAAAUAUAUGACGUACCUGUCAGUGCCAUGGAACAGUACUACGAGUAUCAUGGUCCUGGACUCCUGGUCCUAUCAAAUCCCAGCAAAUACAAAAACAUCAAACCUCGGUCAUGGCCAUCAAACAUGGAGAAUAUCUGCACCAAAUGGGUGGAUACAACAUGGUUCUUACUUGCUUACUUUAAUAAGAAUGAAUCAUUAAACAUUAGUAGAACUGUUGCAUAUGAAGUACUGCAGAAAUAAGCACAUAAUAUUGGGGAAGCCCUUGUUUCUUUGCCACUACAUAACAGGAAGGACAUAAGAUAUUUUGAGAAUGGCAUAUUAAAAACUUCUCUAAAUUAUGGAGGCACAAUCAGGCAAGCUAGACCAGUCGUGAAAAUAGGAGAGAGCCCAGCUAUAUGAUAAAGGGAGUCAAGAGUUUCUUGGCAUACUCUACUAUCCAAAGAGCUUAUUUAUCAUCAUCACAACCAAAGUUAUUUAAUCUUUUGAUCUAAUAGCUUUAGAAAUAGCUGGAAGUGUGUUUCUUCUAAGGCGGUAAGCAAUUUGGACCCUCGC
This 1791-nucleotide long non-coding RNA is filed under the name Triticum aestivum (bread wheat). RNAcentral's name for it is "long non-coding RNA (TAES_LNC012114)". Lineage: Eukaryota; Viridiplantae; Streptophyta; Magnoliopsida; Poales; Poaceae. The record is from RNAcentral.